GAAUUUUUUUAAGUCCAGUGUUCAAAGGAAGGGAAGAAAGAUUGAGAUGUUUCCAGAAGUCUAACUCUGAACCCCAGGUUUGGCCAAACAGCUCCUCUGAACUUCUGGCUUUCUGUGCUUCCCUCCAGCACGGGUCCCGUCACACGGAGUGAUUUUGACAUCACCCUCGUGCGCACCCGUGCGUCACGCUCCUUGAGAGUGGGGGACGGUCUUACUUAGCAACCCCACGACUUUGGAGGGAGCCUGAUAGGCACACGGCGGGGCUCGGUAACGAUGCCUGCAUUGGUUGGCAACCUCCAUGAGGGGGGUGUGUGUUCGUGUCUCUUCCUAGGACUCCACAGGAAUCACGUUCGUGUGUUUAAGCUGCAACCAACACAGUUGUUAGGACGAUCGUCGCAGCCAUCAGGUGCUUGUGUUGUUUAUGAAGUGCUGGGCCAGUUGCUGGGCACCGGACAACAGAACGUUCUGUGAUACCGGAAAGGUCCUGUAUCUGCCCUGUCCAGCAGGGGAGCCACCAGCCUCCUGUGAGCCUCUACCGUGGGGACUGGAUCUCCCACCUCCGGGAAGCACCGGCCAGGACCGAGUGCCGAGACAGAAGGCGACCCCGGGGGAGUCGUGCGGACACUCCACUGCCCCUAAACGUCCAGGAGGUGACCCUUCCUGGCCCAGGUGACCCUGACCGGGGCCCAGAGGCCCUGCUCUGACAGGCAGAUGCUACCUGGGAGACAGGGCCAGCGCGGACACAGGACUGUGGGACAGUGUGCCUGUCAGUAUGGUUCCUCUGCUCGCCCCUAAAAUGGCCCCUGGUGGCUGAAGGAAUAAACGCGGAGAAGUACCUGGCACACGGA
Long non-coding RNA from Lynx canadensis (Canada lynx), 848 nucleotides. RefSeq lists it as uncharacterized. Lineage: Eukaryota; Metazoa; Chordata; Mammalia; Carnivora; Felidae. The transcript has 3 exons. The record is from RefSeq and is a predicted model, not a curated record.